Molecule: small RNA, 164 nt
Filed under: Streptomyces uncialis
Lineage: Bacteria; Bacillati; Actinomycetota; Actinomycetes; Kitasatosporales; Streptomycetaceae
Description: c-di-AMP sequence
Rfam family: c-di-AMP riboswitch aptamer (ydaO/yuaA leader)
About the family: This family represents a conserved RNA structure found upstream of the ydaO and yuaA genes in Bacillus subtilis and related genes in other bacteria.
Source: Rfam by way of RNAcentral
GGGCAGUCAUCGCCGAGUCCCCGUACGGCGCGAGCCAGGGGAGCCGGGGACCCAACCGUCCCUGGGGUGAAUCGGACGCCCGUCGCCUCGCGCGGAGGGGGCCCGUAGGAGACCUUCCUGCUCCGAACCCGUCAGCUAACCCGGUAGGCGAGAAGGAAGGAAAG